Long non-coding RNA from Melanotaenia boesemani (Boeseman's rainbowfish), 395 nucleotides. RefSeq lists it as uncharacterized. The transcript is spliced from 3 exons. The record is from RefSeq and is a predicted model, not a curated record. NCBI's taxonomy places the organism in Eukaryota, Metazoa, Chordata, Actinopteri, Atheriniformes, Melanotaeniidae.
UGUGUGUGAGGCCAGGGGCGGAGCCAGACCUGUAAAACACCCGGGGCUUAGACCAGAAUGGCCGAAGGGGUUAGGGUAAAAAAAAACAGACUGAAAAAAGUACAGUUGCAGAGUACAAUUUUAGAUUUAUUGCCAGCACAAUCUACUCUAGAAAAAAAAUAUCACAUUUGUAUCACAUAAAUAAUAAUAAUAAUAAUAACAAUAAGAAGGAGAAUGAUAAUCAAUACAAAAGAUGCUGAACAUUUUUCAAAAUGUAUGUAACUUUUAACAUUUACACAGUAAGUACUUCAAUCCAGGAUAAAACCACUGAACUGGCAUUAAACAACAAUGCAGAACUACAAAAAAAGCAAACAAACAAACAAAAUAGGGCUGUAUCAGGGCAAAUUUUGCACUAC